CACAGGGACUCGGUUAGCAGAUUAAAAUUUUGUAAAUCAAUGUUUUUAAUUUAUUUUUUAUUAUUUCCUGUCUAUUUGCAUUACUAUAUUAACGUAUUUAACGUUGCCAUCACUAUUUCUUUGUUUUCUGGCAAUGUGCAGUUUACUAUCCAUAUCCAUAUACUGAAAAAACCUAAAGGGAUCUAAGUCGCCAUCUUGAAUUGCCUUCCCUACUUUAGAUAAAAAAUAAUUAAAAAUAUUAAUAAAUUACUAUAUACCUU
Molecule: long non-coding RNA, 260 nt
Filed under: Mytilus galloprovincialis (Mediterranean mussel)
Lineage: Eukaryota; Metazoa; Mollusca; Bivalvia; Mytilida; Mytilidae
Source: RNAcentral